GGGCGCGUAGCUCAGCGGUUCAGAGCGCUGCCCUUACAAGGCAGAAGUCCCAGGUUCGAAUCCUGGCGCGCCCA
This 74-nucleotide transfer RNA is filed under the name Candidatus Palauibacterales bacterium. RNAcentral describes it as "tRNA-Val". It matches the Rfam family "tRNA". Rfam says of the family: Transfer RNA (tRNA) molecules are approximately 80 nucleotides in length. Their secondary structure includes four short double-helical elements and three loops (D, anti-codon, and T loops). The record is from RNAcentral. Lineage: Bacteria; Pseudomonadati; Gemmatimonadota; Gemmatimonadia; Candidatus Palauibacterales. RNAcentral also lists the same sequence under 1 other name.